CAGCCGCCGCGGGAAUACGUAGGGUGCAAGCGUUAAUCGGAAUUACUGGGCGUAAAGCGCACGCAGGCGGUCUGACAAGUCAGAUGUGAAAUCCCCGGGCUUAACCUGGGAACUGCAUUUGAAACUGUCAGGCUGGAGUCUUGUAGAGGGGGGUGGAAUUCCAGGUGUAGCGGUGAAAUGCGUAGAGAUCUGGAGGAAUACCGGUGGCGAAGGCGGCCCCCUGGACAAAGACUGACGCUCAGGUGCGAAAGCGUGGGGAGCAAACAGGAUUAGAUACCCCAGUAGUCCCUGUCUCUUAUAA
RNAcentral lists this ribosomal RNA (301 nucleotides) under uncultured bacterium. Its description in RNAcentral is "partial 16S ribosomal RNA". It matches the Rfam family "Bacterial small subunit ribosomal RNA", at positions 509 to 809 of the family's 1533-position model. The record is from RNAcentral.